Venturia canescens is the source of this 649-nucleotide long non-coding RNA. RefSeq lists it as uncharacterized. The transcript has 2 exons. The record is from RefSeq and is a predicted model, not a curated record. NCBI's taxonomy places the organism in Eukaryota, Metazoa, Arthropoda, Insecta, Hymenoptera, Ichneumonidae.
UAAGCCUGAACUGAAAAUAAUGUUAAAGUAAUAGGACGGGCUCAUAAAAAUCUGAAAAGAGCACACGUGGAAACCUUGAAAAUUCGACGAAUUAGAUAUCGUUUUCUCCGAUUGAUUGUGGAGUGGAGUGCCUUAAUAGAUUUUGACUGUCGUUGGUAGAGUUAACGCCACACCUGUUGUUAGGUACAGCGUUGACACAAAGGAACAGUUUAAGCAGCUGAUAGAUUAAAGCACGGAAUCAAAACUAAGCCCUUCCCUUCCAAGUACUGGAAGUGAAUUCCACAGCGAUUUCAAAGACGAAUAAAUCUCAAAAUUUCUGUCUCUAAAAAGGGUUUUGUAAGCGUCCAUUAUUGCAUUUCGAAAAUGAAACACUUUAUAUCAUUUGAUGACGAACAGGUAAGUGCACAGAAAAAUUACACGUGGUAUGAGCUAAAGACGUGUCGACUCUGAACAAAGAUUUCUUUAGAGUCACUCUUUUAUUUUUCACUUGGUGUAUUACAUUAUACACAUGAAAAAAAAAUAUUUCAUGAACGAUUAGAAUUACAUAACAGUCUCAAGGUCUUACAUCUAAUACAUGUUAAUGGUGGUUCGAAUUAAAAAAUUUCAAGAACAAAGUUACUCAAUUUUUUUCCCCCUUCAGACUUACACA